CAGAUGGUUCCUGCCGACAGAGUCUGUAUAGUUGUCAGAUUUUCUGUGCGAUGGCUCCAUACAUAA
This 66-nucleotide unclassified non-coding RNA is filed under the name Mus musculus (house mouse). The record is from RNAcentral. Lineage: Eukaryota; Metazoa; Chordata; Mammalia; Rodentia; Muridae.